AUUGAACGCUGGCGGCAGGCCUAACACAUGCAAGUCGAACGAGUGGCGGACGGGUGAGUAAUGUCUGGGAAACUGCCUGAUGGAGGGGGAUAACUACUGGAAACGGUAGCUAAUACCGCAUACCAUCAGAUGUGCCCAGAUGGGAUUAGCUAGUAGGUGGGGUAAAGGCUCACCUAGGCGACGAUCCCUAGCUGGUCUGAGAGGAUGACCAGCCACACUGAAACUGAGACACGGGCCAGACUCCCAAGGGAGGCAGCAGUGGGUAAUAUUGCACAAUGGGCGCAAGCCUGAUGCAGCCAGGCCGCUUGUAUGAAGAAGGCCGUCGGGUUGUAAAGUACUUUCAGCGGGGAGGCGUUACCAACAGAAUAAGCACCGGCUAACUUCGUGCCAGCAGCCGCGGUAAUAC
RNAcentral lists this ribosomal RNA (406 nucleotides) under uncultured bacterium. Its description in RNAcentral is "partial 16S ribosomal RNA". It matches the Rfam family "Bacterial small subunit ribosomal RNA", at positions 30 to 526 of the family's 1533-position model. The record is from RNAcentral.